Molecule: ribosomal RNA, 557 nt
Filed under: Sphingopyxis sp. HRRP144
Lineage: Bacteria; Pseudomonadati; Pseudomonadota; Alphaproteobacteria; Sphingomonadales; Sphingopyxidaceae
Also listed under: 1 other name
Description: bacterial SSU rRNA
Rfam family: Bacterial small subunit ribosomal RNA
Source: RNAcentral
ACGGGUGCGUAACGCGUGGGAAUCUGCCCUUGGGUACGGAAUAACUCAGAGAAAUUUGUGCUAAUACCGUAUAAUGACUUCGGUCCAAAGAUUUAUCGCCCAAGGAUGAGCCCGCGUAAGAUUAGCUAGUUGGUGGGGUAAAAGCCUACCAAGGCGACGAUCUUUAGCUGGUCUGAGAGGAUGAUCAGCCACACUGGGACUGAGACACGGCCCAGACUCCUACGGGAGGCAGCAGUGGGGAAUAUUGGACAAUGGGCGAAAGCCUGAUCCAGCAAUGCCGCGUGAGUGAUGAAGGCCUUAGGGUUGUAAAGCUCUUUUACCCGGGAUGAUAAUGACAGUACCGGGAGAAUAAGCUCCGGCUAACUUCGUGCCAGCAGCCGCGGUAAUACGAGGGGAGCUAGCGUUGUUCGGAAUUACUGGGCGUAAAGCGCGCGUAGGCGGCUUUUUAAGUCAGAGGUGAAAGCCCGGGGCUCAACCCCGGAAUUGCCUUUGAAACUGGAAAGCUAGAAUCUUGGAGAGGUCAGUGGAAUUCCGAGUGUAGAGGUGAAAUUCGUAGA